GCCGCCUUUAUCAUUAUUUGUUCGUCAUAUUUGAUUCUGAGCGAAUGGUCGAUCAUGAGGUUUCAAUCAUUUCGCAUAAGGGUAGGCGAGCAGCCACCUUCAUCUUUAUUUAUAUUGUCUAUUGGAUUCCAUGCGAAUGGUGGAUCAUGAGGAUUUCGACCAUUUCGCAUAAGGGUAGGCGAGCAGCUACCUUCAUCUCAAUCUAUGUUGUCUAUUUGAUUCCAGCGAAUGGUGGAUCAUGAGGUUUUCGACCAUAUCGCAUAAGGGUAGGCAAGCAGCCACCUUUAUCUCAAUCUAUAUUGUCUAUUUGAUUCCAUGUGAAUGGUGGAUCAUGAGGUUUUCAACCAUC
This 349-nucleotide long non-coding RNA is filed under the name Citrus sinensis (sweet orange). RNAcentral's name for it is "long non-coding RNA (CSIN_LNC001330)". The record is from RNAcentral. Lineage: Eukaryota; Viridiplantae; Streptophyta; Magnoliopsida; Sapindales; Rutaceae.